GCCAGUGCUUUCGCGCCCUCAACACAACUUUUAUCAGGUGGAUACUCUAUCCUUUUGAGUUUUGAUUUAAAGUUUUAAGUUCUAUGCACUAAUGUACGUUGUGAUCAAUGAUAUUUACACUAUCAGGUUGAUCUUGACAUGGUAUAAUAAGUUAAAUUGAAUUGAUAGUCUAAAAAGACUUUACAAUAUCAGUGCAUAUAACUUAAAUCCUUUUAUUUAUCUCAACUUUAGCAUUAUUUUGAUGUUAUCGAACAUGAACAUCAAGUCUAUCUUUCUUUUUUUCUGUUUAUUGCAGGGACCAAAUUACUUCGAGGUUGAUCUUGACAUUCAUCGCUUCAGCUACAUUGCAAGAAAGGGACUAGAUUCUUUUAGGGAGCGUUUAGGAUUCGGGAUACUGGAUCUUGGUCUAACAAUUCAGGUUUCCCUUUAUUUUACUUGUUAUAUAUCAGCAAGAAUUGAAUAUAUAAGGAUUGAGGAAGUUAGCUUUGAUUUAGGCUUGUCAAGAUGAUAUAUUUAUUGAUUAGAUCAACAAUACACCUUUUUUUUAAAAACAUUAUUAGUGUAGAUUACUUAAUACUUGUCACAUUAUGAUUCAAUAAUGUAAAUUUUAUCAAUCAGUGCAUGAAACUUAAAUUCAUGGAUAAAUAAUGAAGGCGCAAAAGCCAAAGGAAUUACCGGAG
RNAcentral lists this long non-coding RNA (680 nucleotides) under Solanum tuberosum (potato). Its description in RNAcentral is "long non-coding RNA (STUB_LNC003634)". The record is from RNAcentral. Lineage: Eukaryota; Viridiplantae; Streptophyta; Magnoliopsida; Solanales; Solanaceae.